UCGAUCGCUAACCGUGCAGCAUGCAGGUCGAUGCACCGCGCUCGUCCACGCUCGCUUGUCUCCAUUUCCCCUUGCCACCUGUCAAGAGGCAACUCUUCGUAUCUCGUCGUACUUUCGGUCAUUAAUCUGACAUGUGACAUCUAUGUUGAAGAACGAUAAUUUACAUUGUAUAUUUAUAUAAUUAAACAGUAUUAAAUUUUACGUAGAUCAAUAAUAAAUUUCAUGAAAUCCAUGACUUUAUGGAACUAAAAAUUUUAACGAUCACUUUGUAAAGAUAUAAAAAUAUACUUGGAUUUUAUAUAUUUAUAAUAUUUCCUCAUUGUCGGGACAUUUGCUAAUACAUCUUUGUAAAAUCGGCGUACUAAUUAAAAUAUUACAUUUUACAUUUUAUUUCAAAUAUUCUCUUUCAAAUGAUUCACGUAAAUGGAAUUUAUUUUCACUAUUCAUUUUUCUGAAAAGUCAAUACUUUCUUAUGGGAAUACCUAUACAGAACACACGGUAUAUUAUUUUACAAUGCACAUGUAUUAAAAUAUAUAUUUUGCGCAAUAUAAAAUAAUACAUUGUAACAAUAUGCACAUAAUACAUAGCUGAUGAUAAAAGACAGCAAUCAUGCGUUAUUAAUCGUUACGGACGUAAAACACGAUAGCAUAAACCAGUUUCCGCUUCAUUUGAAAGCAUACUAAAACAACAGAGCCGUUUCACAGCGUCAUUAGUUUGACAAUACUUCAGGAAACUGUAAACUCGUUUAAAGCACGGGCUCGUUAAAGUUCGAAACACCGAACUGUUCUAAACGAAUGGAGAGAAUCGUAAAUCGUUCCGGUACAUAAUGCGAGUUUAAGAUUUUAUUUAAAACGCUAUUGAUUUCUCGCGUGCACGCGCGAUCUGGAUUGCUUCGGUACAGAAAUGAUUUUAUUACUUAAUGAAUAAUCUUUAAUCAUCUGCAUGCUAACUGCACAUUUCGUGCAUAUAAAACUCCGAUUGUUUAAUUUUAUCUCUAACAGGUUUCGAUUUUAUUGACGUUAGUGCGAACGCUAGCAUCAACGUUAUUUUCACCAUAUAGAGGCAACGCUCUACGAUAUCGAGGCAUUGUCGGGCAUACACGUUCGCGUGUAUACAUUAUGCAAAUUGAUUCCAUCGAUUGGCCGCCGGGCUUCCCGUGCGAAUAUAGACUUGUUGCACGUUUCAGUAGCUCUAUUCCGGUCUCUAGAACGUGCUCGUGUUGCAACUUGCAACUUUGCUACGCAAUUCCAAGAAAAUAAUGUCGUAUUAAGAAAACAACAACGAGUUUCUCAGCGAUAUCUAAACACUACGCUGUGUCUCGCAAACAUUUAUGUAAUAUGAUUGAGUCGCGCAUCUUCAUUCGAGUUGCGAAAAUAAAAGGAUACCUAUCACUUUGCCGGAACAUAAAGACUAGCAACAUUAAUUUUUGCGAUUGCGUUAAAAUGUCAAGGUUUUUACAGAAAUGAUGCGAAACCCGUUUCGCAAUAACGAAUUUUUUAUGUUAGUGCCGACACGAAUUCCGAUGAACAAGUCGACAACGUGUUUUUUUAUUCUUACGGUUUGAUACUAAUCAUGAAGAAAGUAAUCGUCGCUACAAGAUAACGAUUAAGGGUCGUCGUAAUUAUCUUAAGAGGCCUCUUCGUGGGAGCGGUGCUGUUGCCGAUUACUAUGUGUCGCCAACGACGGCGCCGGCUCUUCUUGCCACUAAUACGACUCUCAUUAUGUCAAGGUAUGUAAGCGCCUAUCGCGAGGUAUCGCGCCUUGUGUGUGCGUACACUUUUACUUGACUUGGAAAAACGCAUAAAUGAGAACGAACGAUUCAUGAAUGCCUUAAUAAUGGUCGUUCGAUAGCCAUUCGAAGUUAGGAGCCAUAAAAUGAACUGUCGGUAAUCAUGUUGUUAUUUUAUCUUUUCAUACUGCUUGCGUCAACGUUGCGCAAUUACACAAAAUGUCUCGCGUAAGCUGACAACCAGCAACAAAGAUAUAUGCUCCGUCCAGGCUCUGAUAAGACUAAUUUUUUAAAAAUUUUUUCCUGCAGCAUUAUUUCCUGAUGACUAUUGACGAUAUAUUAUCGCGUUGUGAAGCUUGAUAUUUCAGCUAUGAUCAUUCAAAAUUUCAAGGUGCUAGCAUGUCUGCAUGAUUAGUUUUAAUGUUAAAUGUGACUUCAUUGACGCUUGUUGAAAAAGCAUGCUUCGUAACACACGCUUACCGAGGAUUAAAAAGACGUCAGAGUAAAGCAUUGGAAAGACAUGCUAGGAGAUCGAUCGAUACCUAUUGAUCCGCAUUUCAUGAAAAACAUCGGUACUGGUAAUGAAAUAUAGUGUUUUCAAUAUGAGCCCCAUUUAAGUGGCACAAGAAAGUACGCAUGCAGAAGAGUUGAAUCGAGACAUUGCUCGUUUUCUUCGAUUUGAAAGGAAUCAAAGGUCAAAGGUGAACUCGUUAUUUGAAUGUUCUGAAUCGUUUGGAGCAAGAUUUUUCCUGUUCGGCCUGCAUAAGCAAGGAUCUUGAUUGUUUAUAGACAAUAAUGCAUGAACGCAUGAAUUCAAAAUUGUACGUGAUUUUUGAAAACGCAUCACAGUGCUCGUACACCUUUCGUAUUGGCUUCGUGUGACUUCUAAUUAUUCCCAAUUCAAGUUAGCGAAGUUACGAUAUCAUUCAUCCAAAGGAAUUUGAUUGCGAUUUUAAAGGAGAUCUUGAAAACGAAGCACAAUGAUUGCUUCGAAAAAUAUUUUAAUUGCUUCCAGUAUUGACUCAGAAAGAAUAUAUUCUGAAUAAAAAAGUAAUAAAAACAAAAAAUAAUUGACAUCUUGGCUUCGGUAUCAGCCACAUCAAAGUCUGGACAGUCUAUAUAUGUUAACUCGUCCGAGUUAAUGCUUAUUAUUUUAGAGUUAAUUUUUCCCUAUUAGAGUUUAUUGAAAAUAAUUAUUUAUCGCAACAUUUCUAUAUUCGCCAUUAAAUUAGUUUGCCUUUCAAGUCUUUGAUUAAAUUUGUUUUAUUAAAUUUCAACAGCAAAUUUACCACCAAAUAACGUCUCAUUAAUAAAUAUCAACAUUUUCCGAUCCAACAGGAAAUUAUGUAACAGUGUUGCAUUACACUCCUACAAAUCAUGUAAUAAAUAAUCGAUAAAGAAGACAUAUAUUUAUGAUAAAAAUGUAAAAAAUAUUAAAUUUUGAUUUCUUUUAUGUUUAAUUUCCUAACAGCUAAUCAAAUUUUUUAAGUUAGAAUCAAAAAAGUAAUUGACUACGACUUUUUUAUCGCGCUAGACUCGAAUGUCGAUAAUGUGUGCUAACGCAAUGGAAAAAAGAACGUCGAUUGCGCAAAUUCUUUAUUAUAUUCUAUUUUUAGAAUUAAAAAGCUUUUUUUAUAAUGACGUUUAGUCGGAAAUAUGCGGCGCGAACACAGGAACGUAUCCACCGCGAGAGCGACAAGACCAAAACGUUGACUGACGAACCAAAAAGACCGCAUCGUGUUUUAAUGCAAAGAGUAUAGUGAAGAGUAGCUAUUAGGAUUCGCGGUAAAUGAUAGGUGGAACAACAUCAUCGAUCCUUAUCACGAGCCCGACUUUGCUAAAGAGAGCAGCAGGCCGAGUUACCUCGCUGCUAGUUACCCAAGAAUCCUACGGGAUGAUAAUGAGGACCUACUAUCUCAUGCUAAGCCAACCAUAAUUACCCUGUUGGUAAUGUGCGGUUGUCGUCGGCACGAUUAGCACCGUCUUCUUUCGCGAGUUGUCUCAGCUUGUCGCAAAUUGCCGGAAUUGGGUAACUGGAUACGUGCGAGUUCUCUGACAGCGAUCGUGUUUCUAAUGGCGUUUUUAAAUUUACGACAAAGUAGGUGACAAGAAUUGUUUCUUUUUUCUUAAGUGUUGAUAAUCUAAUAAUUACUUACAUCGCUUUAUGAUAAUUAUCAAUAGAAAUUUUCUGCGCAAGAUUUUAUUGAAUGUUUCUAUCUACGUUCAUGUAACGAGUUUUUCUUUAAGGGAUGAUAAAUAGUAGAUCGACUAUUUUGACUUAUAACAACAAUCUUCUUGAAUUUUAUCAAUUUACAAAAUACUGCUUUUAAAUAUAUAGCACUAACACCUUGAUGCGAAUAUCUAUAUGCAUGCGUUCAUCAAAGUGCUUACGCAACCGCGACUUAAUUAGCGACCGUACUAAAUGAAUGUUCUAGGAUUUUAAUACGGCAAAAUUGCGUUAUAAUGAAUAUUGGUAUAACGAAAUUUUCGUUGAAUCAACAAUAAACGUUGAAAUGCAAUCUCUACUGCAAUGUACGGAUAAAUCAAUAUGAUGUAUUUUUAUUUAAACAAGCUUCAUGUGGAAACGAGGUUUGGUUGUGUAUUUAUAAUAACUUAAACCGUAUUCACAUUUACAUUCCUGGAAAAAA
This 4377-nucleotide long non-coding RNA is filed under the name Ooceraea biroi (clonal raider ant). Its description in RNAcentral is "uncharacterized LOC105287486". Lineage: Eukaryota; Metazoa; Arthropoda; Insecta; Hymenoptera; Formicidae. The record is from RNAcentral.